Molecule: long non-coding RNA, 220 nt
Organism: Episyrphus balteatus (marmalade hoverfly)
Lineage: Eukaryota; Metazoa; Arthropoda; Insecta; Diptera; Syrphidae
Exons: 2
Source: RefSeq, a predicted model, not a curated record
CUAGAUCUGCCAACUUGUGCCUAUAAUGGUCGGUGUUACUUGCAGAUGGAUGGACCAUGUGCUCUUCAAAAGUAUAAUUGCUUGAAUCCAAAAAGAGCUUUCGAACAAGUUGAUCAAUACAGAUGCAAGCAGGAUUCAGCACCACAGUGCCAAAUUGGAGAUUAUUAAAUUUUUAAAAUUUUGAAAAAAUUAAAGACUGAAUAAAAACGUUUAAAAAAUU